UGGGGAAUAUUGCACAAUGGGGGAAACCCUGAUGCAGCGACGCCGCGUGAACGAAGAAGGUAUUCGUAUCGUAAAGUUCUGUCCUAUGGGAAGAUAAUGACAGUACCAUAGAAGAAAGCUCCGGCUAAAUACGUGCCAGCAGCCGCGGUAAUACGUAUGGAGCGAGCGUUGUCCGGAAUUAUUGGGCGUAAAGGGUACGCAGGCGGUUUAAUAAGUCGAAUGUUAAAGAUCGGGGCUCAACCCCGUAAAGCAUUGGAAACUGAUCAACUUGAGUAGUGGAGAGGAAAGUGGAAUUCCUAGUGUAGUGGUGAAAUACGUAGAUAUUAGGAGGAAUACCAGUAGCGAAGGCGACUUUCUGGACACAAACUGACGCUGAGGUACGAAAGCGUGGGGAGCAAACAGG
This 403-nucleotide ribosomal RNA is filed under the name bacterium. RNAcentral's name for it is "partial 16S ribosomal RNA". It matches the Rfam family "Bacterial small subunit ribosomal RNA", at positions 355 to 776 of the family's 1533-position model. The record is from RNAcentral.